UAUCUCUGUAGAGUCUGCAUAUCAAUAAGCGGAGGAAAAGAAACUAACUAGGAUUCCCUCAGUAACGGCGAGUGAAGCGGGAAGAGCUCAAAUUUGAAAUCUUCAAGGUUCUACCUUGACGAAUUGUAGUUUAAAGAAGUGUUUUCUGUUGGAGUUUUGGUAAAAGUUCUUUGGAAUAGGACAUCAUAGAGGGUGAGAAUCCCGUAUUUGACCAUUAUUUCCAGCUGUGUGAUACACUUUCAACGAGUCGGAUUGUUUGGGAAUGCAGUCCAAAAUGGGUGGUAAAUUUCAUCUAAAGCUAAAUAUUGGCGAGAGACCGAUAGCGAACAAGUACCGUGAGGGAAAGAUGAAAAGAACUUUGAAAAGAGAGUUAAACAGUACGUGAAAUUGUCAAAAGGGAAGCGUUUGACACCAGUGUUGUUUUUCCGAAAAUCAAUUACGAAUGUUUUAUUUUUGAGGAGUUAUGACUUCAUCGGCUUGCUCCUUUCUUUACGAAACUUUCUUAAUGCACUUUUCGGUUAACAAGUCAACAUCAAUUUCUUUUGUUGUAAAAGGGUCAUUGGAAGGUGGCUUUCUUUUCGGAGAAAGUGUUUAUAGCCUUUGAUCUCUGCAACCGGAGAGACUGAGGUCUGCAGCGUAGACUCUUCGGGGUUAGAUACAUUUGUGCUAAGCUAUAGCUUUUUAUAGACAACUUGUUGACUAUAUUUAGUCUUGUGGCUUACUCGCUUAUGCUAUUUUACCUACGCUUAGGAUGUUGAGUAGCGACAUACGCAC
This 774-nucleotide ribosomal RNA is filed under the name uncultured Neocallimastigales. Its description in RNAcentral is "partial large subunit ribosomal RNA". It matches the Rfam family "Eukaryotic large subunit ribosomal RNA", at positions 24 to 649 of the family's 3401-position model. The record is from RNAcentral. Lineage: Eukaryota; Fungi; Neocallimastigomycota; Neocallimastigomycetes; Neocallimastigales.